Molecule: ribosomal RNA, 253 nt
Filed under: uncultured bacterium
Lineage: Bacteria
Description: partial 16S ribosomal RNA
Rfam family: Bacterial small subunit ribosomal RNA
Source: RNAcentral
UACGUAGGGUGCAAGCGUUAAUCGGAAUUACUGGGCGUAAAGCGUGCGCAGGCGGUUUUGUAAGUCUGACGUGAAAUCCCCGGGCUCAACCUGGGAAUUGCGUUGGAGACUGCAAGGCUAGAAUCUGGCAGAGGGGGGUAGAAUUCCACGUGAUGAGCAGUGAAAUGCGUAGAGAUGUGGAGGAACACCGAUGGCGAAGGCAGCCCCUGGGUCAAGAUUGACGCUCAUGCACGAAAGCGUGGGGAGCAACAGG